CGUGUGCUUACAAGUAGUCAGAGCCCGUUAAUGGGUGAUGGCGUGCCUUUUGUAGAAUGAACCGGCGAGUUACGAUUUGAUGCAAGGUUAAGCAGUAAAUGUGGAGCCGUAGCGAAAGCGAGUCUGAAUAGGGCGUUUAGUAUUUGGUCGUAGACCCGAAACCAGGUGAUCUACCCUUGGUCAGGUUGAAGUUCAGGUAACACUGAAUGGAGGACCGAACCGACUUACGUUGAAAAGUGAGCGGAUGAACUGAGGGUAGCGGAGAAAUUCCAAUCGAACCUGGAGAUAGCUGGUUCUCUCCGAAAUAGCUUUAGGGCUAGCCUCAAGUGAUGAUUAUUGGAGGUAGAGCACUGUUUGGACGAGGGGCCCCUCUCGGGUUACCGAAUUCAGACAAACUCCGAAUGCCAAUUAAUUUAACUUGGGAGUCAGAACAUGGGUGAUAAGGUCCGUGUUCGAAAGGGAAACAGCCCAGACCACCAGCUAAGGUCCCAAAAUAUAUGUUA
This 503-nucleotide ribosomal RNA is filed under the name Staphylococcus aureus. Its description in RNAcentral is "partial 23S ribosomal RNA". It matches the Rfam family "Bacterial large subunit ribosomal RNA", at positions 557 to 1061 of the family's 2925-position model. Lineage: Bacteria; Bacillati; Bacillota; Bacilli; Caryophanales; Staphylococcaceae. The record is from RNAcentral.